Long non-coding RNA from Homo sapiens (human), 430 nucleotides. NCBI's taxonomy places the organism in Eukaryota, Metazoa, Chordata, Mammalia, Primates, Hominidae. The record is from Ensembl.
CUAUCUCUGGAGGGUCUUGAAGAAAGAAGAAAUUCUGUAUUAUCCAAACAGAUGGUUAUGAGGAUCUACUUUCAACCUUCCACGUUAUGUGCUGUGAAUCAAGUCUUCACCCUACCAUUUAUCCAUUGUCUCCAAGAGCUUUUGAUAUAUCAGGAAAUAGGGAAGCCCUACAUAUGGAAAAGUGUAAGGAUUGUAGUGGUGAGAUGUGUGUUCCAGACUCUCUGGAUUCAAAUCCCAGCUCUGCUACUCAUAACAGUACAUGCUGCCCAUGCAUAAACAAUCAAAGUUAAACCGAGAAAAGAUGGAUACACAUGGAGCUGCUACCGAUUGGGAAAGGAUUUGGUUAUUUUAUUAUUUCAUAAUGCUGAGCUGUGAUGGACCUGACGACAUCUGAGAAAAAAAAAAUUGCCCAAAUGAAAAAAUAAAUAGC